CAAGGAAUUUUGCGCAAUGGGCGAAAGCCUGACGCAGCGACGCCGCGUGGGGGAUGACGGCCUUCGGGUUGUAAACCCCUUUUCUAGAGGAAGAAAUAUGACGGUACUCUAGGAAUAAGUCUUGGCUAACUACGUGCCAGCAGCCGCGGUAAUACGUAGAAGGCGAACGUUAUCCGGAUUUACUGGGCGUAAAGCGGGUGUAGACGGCUUUGUAAGUCAGUUGUGAAAUCUCCCGACUCAAUCGGGAGCGUGCAAUUGAUACUGGAGAGCUUGAGGGCAUCAGAAGAAAGCAGAAUUCACGGUGUAGCGGUGAAAUGCGUAGAUAUCGUGAGGAAUACCAGUGGCGACGGCGGCUUUCUAGGGUGCUCCUGACGUUGAGGCCCGAAAGUGUGGGGAGCGAAACG
This 404-nucleotide ribosomal RNA is filed under the name uncultured bacterium. RNAcentral describes it as "bacterial SSU rRNA". It matches the Rfam family "Bacterial small subunit ribosomal RNA", at positions 355 to 775 of the family's 1533-position model. The record is from RNAcentral.